GGGGGUAUAGCUCAAGUGACAAGAGCGCAUGCUUAGCAAACACAAAGCCCUAGGUUCAAUCCCCAGUACCCUCU
Molecule: transfer RNA, 74 nt
Filed under: Camelus bactrianus (Bactrian camel)
Lineage: Eukaryota; Metazoa; Chordata; Mammalia; Artiodactyla; Camelidae
Also listed under: 2 other names
Rfam family: tRNA
About the family: Transfer RNA (tRNA) molecules are approximately 80 nucleotides in length.
Source: Rfam by way of RNAcentral